Molecule: ribosomal RNA, 433 nt
Filed under: uncultured bacterium
Lineage: Bacteria
Description: partial 16S ribosomal RNA
Rfam family: Bacterial small subunit ribosomal RNA
Source: RNAcentral
AACGAACGCUGGCGGAAGGACGAACACAUGCAAGUCGAACGAGACCGUCGGGUCUAGUGGCGCACGGGUGCGUAACGCGUGGGAACCUGCCCUUAGGUUCGGAAUAACUCCCCGAAAGGGGUGCUAAGACCGGAUAAUGUCUUCGGACCAAAGAUUUAUCGCCUUUGGAUGGGCCCGCGUUGGAUUAGCUAGUUGGUAGGGUAAAAGCCUACCAAGGCGACGAUCCAUAGCUGGUCUGAGAGGAUGAUCAGCCACACUGGGACUGAGACACGGCCCAGACUCCUACGGGAGGCAGCAGUGGGGAAUAUUGGACAAUGGGCGAAAGCCUGAUCCAGCAAUGCCGCGUGAGUGAUGAAGGCCUUAGGGUUGUAAAGCUCUUUUACCCGGGAUGAUAAUGACAGUACCGGGAGAAUAAGCACCGGCUAACUCCGUG